This 550-nucleotide ribosomal RNA is filed under the name uncultured Funneliformis. RNAcentral's name for it is "SSU rRNA". It matches the Rfam family "Eukaryotic small subunit ribosomal RNA", at positions 548 to 1098 of the family's 1831-position model. The record is from RNAcentral. Lineage: Eukaryota; Fungi; Glomeromycota; Glomeromycetes; Glomerales; Glomeraceae.
UUGGAGGGCAAGUCUGGUGCCAGCAGCCGCGGUAAUUCCAGCUCCAAUAGCGUAUAUUAAAGUUGUUGCAGUUAAAAAGCUCGUAGUUGAAUUUCGGGAUCAAUGUUUCGGUCAUGCCGUUGGUAUGUACUGAUAUUAUUGAUUUCUCACCUUCUAAAGAACCGUAAUGCCAUUAAUUAGGUGUCACGGGGAAUUAGGACUGUUACCUUGAAAAAAUUAGAGUGUUUAAAGCAGGCUCACGCUUGAAUACAUUAGCAUGGAAUAAUGAAAUAGGACAUCCGAUUCUAUUUUGUUGGUUUCUAGGAUCGAUGUAAUGAUUAAUAGGGAUAGUUGGGGGCAUUAGUAUUCAAUUGUCAGAGGUGAAAUUCUUGGAUUUAUUGAAGACUAACUACUGCGAAAGCAUUUGCCAAGGAUGUUUUCAUUAAUCAAGAACGAAAGUUAGGGGAUCGAAGACGAUCAGAUACCGUCGUAGUCUUAACCAUAAACUAUGCCGACUAGGGAUCGGAUGAUGUUAAUUUUUUAAUGACUCAUUCGGCGCCUUACGGGAAAC